RNAcentral lists this long non-coding RNA (5569 nucleotides) under Oncorhynchus mykiss (rainbow trout). RNAcentral's name for it is "lncRNA (ENSOMYG00000071458.1)". The record is from RNAcentral. Lineage: Eukaryota; Metazoa; Chordata; Actinopteri; Salmoniformes; Salmonidae.
AUGACAGAGGACAGAAUCAUCAAAAGUGUCCAGGAGCAACUGUCUGAUCAUAAUAUCCUGUCCUCUUGCCCACCUGAGCUGACUGUUGGUCUUAUCAAGGUGGUGGUCGAACAGCUUAACUCUGCCCUCUCUGCGACCAUCAGCAGAGCUAUUUCAGGGCGGUCCUCCCCUAUUUCUUCUGGUACCCAGGCCGCUGAACAAAUGGUCAACAUGGUCCUGAAAUGUUUUGAUGAUCACACCACCCCAGAGGACCAGAGCUCUACCUCUGUAUUAGAGUCAUGCAUUCCACCUGCAACAGAAGAAGUGAUGACUGUUAUCGCAGAGAUGGUGGGUGAAUUGGAAAAAGAAGAUCCGGAAUUGGCUAAGGUUUUUCGAGAAGUGGCUGUGAAAGUUAAAAUGUUGGCAUCUGGCAGUGACCUUGUAGUGGAGCACCUGGAUGUUGAAGACUCUCCUGUUCCAGAGGAGCUGAACAUAAUAUGUACAUCUUGCAAAGCAAUGAUGCAAAAUCUUGGCACUCUGUUUAGUGUGAAGUUCAAGACCAAAGCCUCAAAGGCUGUGAGUGAAAUUCUUGUGAGAAGGUUAAUGAGCGAUAUCUCUGGUAUGGUUCAACCUUCUCAUUCGUUUAGUACCACUCCAAGCUUGAUGAAUGCAUCUAGCCCAUCUGACAGGAUCCUUGAUUCUGUGGCCACUGAGCUCAUACAGACCAAAGUAGAAUCUGAGGCAUCACAAAUAAUUGAUAACUUUGUUGAAGAUGUCAAGGACAUUGUGCAGUAUGCUGAAUUAGAUCAGCCAACAAGCACCCAGAGAGAUACCCAAGUGGGACACUGUACGACAAAGCGGAAACCCUUCCAUGCAGCUCGUAGACUCUGCGAGAGACUUCAGGCAAAGCUGGAGACAUUGUUCCUCAGAAUGGGUGGAGCUCCAGUCCAAGGGGAAGAACUUAUGGAAAAAGCUGACUCCAGUGCUGUGCUUCUGGAGCAUACUGACUCCAGUGAUCUGCCUGUUUCAAUCCUGAGCUUGCCUUCCCCAUGUAGGAGUGAAUCCCCUAUAUCAGAACGUAGUUCAUCUUCUUUAUCUGAUGGAUGUGAUUCAACUGACUCUGUAGGAGAGAAAACACCAGAGCAACCUGAAACCAGUAAGAGUGAGGCAAUACUGCAAGUGGUAAACUCAACAGGACUUGGUUCUCUCCGUAAAUGCCAAAGUGAGAACUCUCAACCAUUACUGUCUCUCUGUGAUUCCAACAUGGUGCCCUGCACCAAAGAGGUCUUGUCCCAGAUUGUGACCAUGUAUAGGUCAGAGGUGGCAGAUUUGGAAUGCACAUCAUCUGUUGCAGAGGGUUCCUCUUACAACUCCCUUGAAGUCUGUGGCUUUUUGGACAGUGUCAUGUCUUAUCUAGAAGACAUGCCUGUGUCUGGUUCUUCAUGGUUGGAAGGAUUAAGAGAUACUCCAGCCUCAGUCAUUGAGAAACUCUCCAGUGAGGAGUUCCAGAUGAACGCUACCAACGAAGUGCGAAAAAUACUGAUCAAAUCAGUCAGUAGCUUUCCCAGCAAAGUCAGUUCCAGCCAGACAGAUUCUCAGAUGUUGCCAGCAAAAUCAACAAUUUCCUUAAGGCAUACAGAUAUAACUGCUUUUGAAAUCGUUGGAUCAAUUACAAAUGACAUGAAGAGCCUUUUCCCACCCACAGAGUCUUCUACUACUCUAUGGCAGGCAGACUCUAUGCUUCAACAGAGUGAUGAGAAAACCUCAGAGUACACUGAGGCCACACCCAAAGGCUCACAGUCUGGUUUGGAAGUAUCUGAGAAGAAGAUCUGGACAACUGCAAAUACUAUUUACCACAAUGUGAAGACAAAGAUGAGGAAUUAUUUUACAUGGCAAAAUCAAGUCAAAGCAACAACGGCUCAAGCCAAAAAGACCCUCAGCCAUAUUCUGGUUUCAAUUCAGAAAGAGCUGUCAAAAUCUGACCAAACGGUGACUGCGCUUUCACAAAUAGAGAAUGUGGUUGGAAUGAUGCUGAAGGAUGUUGAAAGGGUAAGCAGUGAAUGUGGUGAGGAACUGAUCUAUCAAGCGCCACAGCGUUCUUCCUCCUCGUUGUCAUCCUCAUCUGCCAGAUCAAAGAAGUCAGAGUGGGAAUUUUCACUCCCUGGCACUCCCAUCUCUUCUGAUUUACCAGAGAGUAUUACUCAGCCCAUUGUGAGAUGCUCAGUCAUCGACAUGGGCAAAUCUACUAAGCCAAAAACAUUGGUGUGUGAUGCCAGGGAAAGCAUGUCUGCAAUAGUGGAUACCAUCAUAAAGGAGGUACAUCCAGAGGAAGAAGGGGAGGUUGCAUUCCACCCUGAUCUAACAGCUGCAAUAGCAAGACUGGAGGAGCUCAUAUCUCAGGGUAGGAUUGGUGCUCUCUCACGUGAUCUUACUCACAAAGUCAACCGCAUCAUUUCUGAGAGCAACUUGACCCCUCUGGUUCUGACAGUGGCGGCUGGAAAGAGUGCAUCCGAUACAGUCCUUACUGAGCUGAAGAGGAAUGACAAGACGGUGGGGAAGCCCACAGCUUACAAGCUGGUUCAGCUUUUUGCAGAGGAGUCUGUGAAGCGCCUCUUGCUUCCUAGCCUUGUGCCCUCUACAGCUUCAAUGAGUUUGGCUCAGGGAGUUAGUGUGCCGGCUAGCGUAUCUGAAGAUAGGAUUUCAUGUUCUUUUUCUACAUCAGCAUUUAGUGACACAGUCAGCCUGUUUACCAAAGUAAUGGUAAGCCAGGUCAUGGACUCUGUGGUUUCUGAUGCACAAAGCAGAGGGUCAUCUCCAACCGGAACUGUAACUGAUAUAGGCAGUCUACUGAGUGGUAAGUCCUACCCUCUGCCAUCUUUCUCCGCCAUCAGCAUGACAACAAGUGGGACCUCCAAUGCUGCACGAGGCUUUGAGGCCAACAUAGAUGCUGAGGAAAGUUGUUUCGGUGUACCUCAGAGCAUUGUUUGUGAUCAGAAUUCAACCAGCCCGGAUGUUGCCUCGCUUUCAACCCCAUCCACUGACAACUUAGUCGGUGAUGAUGACUUCACCGGCCUCAUCAGCAUGUUAGUGGUGAGACUUCUGUCAAAAAUCCAAACCCAAACUGAUCUGUACCCAACUGACGUCACACGCACGUCACAAGACCUGAUUCCAAAAGUUAUAGCUGCCUUCUGUGCAUGGUCAGGCUGCUCUGAGACCCAAGCUUAUCCCAAGAACCUGAAGAGUCACAAAGUAUACAGCACCGUCUACAAACAUCUGUUGAAGGAGUUUGGCUCAGAGAAAAUACUCCAACUGGCCGUGUCGACUCAGGACUCCACUUUCAAUAGGAUUCUUGUGAAGUCAUUGAGCAAGGAGCUUCUCCACAGUUGUAACGAGGCAUCAAGAGCAGCCUCAAGAACAUCUUUCGAAGCCACCAGGCCAGAAGCUCUUCUCAUGGCUGAAGAUGUGAAGGCUACCAGAGGGAAGCUGUCUUUCCUACAAAGGCUUGCCAGACUGAAAUUCAACUUAAAGCCAUUCAUGAUGGGAAACAAGAAGAAUUCCCGCCAUUCUGAAUCCAAAGACCAGACUACUGCUGAAGAGAUCAUGUGUAAGUCCAUACAGCAGGACAUUUACUGUUUGAGAUAUUGGUGUACAAAGCUGCUAUUGCAAAAAUAUUAAACCCUAUAUACAGUACAUUAUAUAUUAUCGAUAGUAAUCUCUUAUGUAAAAUUAUUUAUAGUUUCCAAAUCUCAAGAUUCUGGUUCUCAUUUAUUUGUGAAAGUAAUAAUGAGUUGAAACUAAGAAUACAAUAUAUCAUCAUUUCUAAAUGAAAGUACAUGUCAACUCUCUCUCUCUUCUGUCGCCCAACAUAGUGGCACAUCCUGCCACGUUUGGACUCCCAGAGGGUCUUCCCUCCACCUCUCAACAGGAGAAGCCUCGCAAACGUCCCCUUCUAAUCAGGAUGUUUUCCACCAUCUCCAUAGGCCUAUCCAAGCCAUUCAAACGGUUUUCAAAGCAAGCUUAAUACAACAAUUUCCUUUAAUACAGUAAUAUUUGCAUUGAAUUGAUGGCCUUUGUCUUCUUUUGUGUUGCCCUGUUAACACAUUUGAUUAGAAAAUACAUAGUAUAUUUAGUUUAGUUUAUUAUGCAGUCAUAGUCACGGUGUAGGCUAAACAAAGUAAUGUUGUCCUGAAUAAUGUAUAGAACAUGCACCCCCCCCCCCCCCCCCCCCCCCCACCCACACACACACACACACACACACACACACACACACACACACACACACACACAGUGUGAUUCAUUGAGCACACACACAUACUACUUCAGAUAUGUCCCACUGUCACACCCUGACCAUAGUUUGCUUUGUAUGUUUCUAUGUUUUGGUUGGUCAGGGUGUGAUCUGAGUGGGCAUUUUAUGUUGGAUGUCUUGUUUGUCUAUUUCUAUGUCUGGCCUGAUAUGGUUCUCAAUCAGAGGCAGGUGUUAGUCAUUGUCUCUGAUUGGGAACCAUAUUUAGGUGGCCUGGGUUUCACUGUGUGUUUGUGGGUGAUUGUUCCUGUCUCUGUGUUUGCACCAGAUAGGACUGUUUAGGUUUUCACAUUUCAUUGUUUUGUAGUUUAUUCAUGUAUAGUUUUCCUUUAUUAAACAAACAUGAAUCAUCACCAUGCUGCGUUUUGGUCCGCCUCUCCUUCACCGCAAGAGAACCGUUACAGAAUCACCCACCACAACAGGACCAAGCGGCGUGGUAACGGGCAACAGCUACAGCAGCGAAAAGAGGAAUGGACAUGGGAGGAAGAAUUGGAAGGUAAAGGACCCUGGGCACAGCCUAGAGAAUAUCGCCGCCCCAAAGAAGAGCUGGAGGCGGCGAAGGCGGAGAGGCGCUGGUAUGAGGAGGCAGCACGGCGGCGUGGAUGGAAGCCCGAGAGUCAGCCCCAAAAAUGUCUUGGGGGGGGGGGGGGGCACACAGGAAGUGUGGCGAAGCCAGGUAGGAGACCUGCGCCAACUUCCUGUGUUUACCGGUUGGGCUGGAGAGACCGGGCAGGCACCGUGUUAUGCUGUGAAGCGCACGGUGUCCCCAGUGCGGGUGCAUAGCCCGGUGCGGUACAUUCCAGCUCCGCGUAUCGGCCGGGCUAGAGUGGGCAUCGAGCCAAGUGCCAUGAAGCCGGCUCUACGCAUCUGGUCUCCAGUGCGUCUCCUUGGGCCGGCUUACAUGGCACCAGCCUUGCGCACGGUGUCCCCGGUUCGCCUGCAUAGCCCAGUGCGGGCUAUUCCACCUCGCCGCACUGGCAGGGCGACCGGGACCAUUCAACCGGGUAAGGUUGGGCAGGCUCGGUGCUCAAGAGCUCCAGUGCGCCUGCACGGUCCGGUCUAUCUGUCACCACCUCCACGCACCAGCCCUCCGGUGGCAGCCCCCUGCACCAGGCUGUCUCUCCGGCUCAUCCUUACAGGGGCUCCCGCCUGUCCAGCGCUGCCGGAGCCUUCCUCCUCUCCAGCACUGUCGGAGUCUCCCUCCUCUCCAGCGCUGCCAGAGCCUUCCUCCUCUCCAGCGCAGCCGGAGUCUCCCGCCUGUUCGGCGCUACAAGAGCUACUCAGUCC